Molecule: ribosomal RNA, 253 nt
Filed under: uncultured bacterium
Lineage: Bacteria
Description: partial 16S ribosomal RNA
Rfam family: Bacterial small subunit ribosomal RNA
Source: RNAcentral
UACGGAGGGUGCAAGCGUUAAUCGGAAUUACUGGGCGUAAAGCGUGCGCAGGCGGUUUGUUAAGUCCGUUGUGAAAUCCCCGAGCUCAACUUGGGAAUUGCAAUGAAUACUGGCAAGCUGGAGUAUGGUAGAGGAAGGUGGAAUUCCCGGUGUAGCAGUGAAAUGCGUAGAGAUCGGGAGGAACACCAGUGGCGAAGGCGGCCUUCUGGACCAAUACUGACGCUCAUGCACGAAAGCGUGGGGAGCAAACAGG